UUUCUCUCGGGAUAGCUGGAGCUCGUGUGAGAAUUUUAUCAAGUAAAGCGAAUGAUUAGAGGCAUCGGGGGUGCAAUGUCCUCGACCUAUUCUCAAACUUUAUAUAGAUAAGCCGUCAAGGCAAGAAACUGGGACAGGGACUCGAAGUGGAACCGAGACUCGCACCA
Molecule: non-coding RNA, 167 nt
Filed under: Physcomitrium patens
Lineage: Eukaryota; Viridiplantae; Streptophyta; Bryopsida; Funariales; Funariaceae
Description: Physcomitrella patens Eukaryotic large subunit ribosomal RNA
Rfam family: Eukaryotic large subunit ribosomal RNA
Source: Rfam by way of RNAcentral